GACAGAGGGGGCAAGCGUUGUCCGGAGUUACUGGGCGUAAAGGGCGCGUAGGUGGUCGUACACGUCGCCGGUGAAAGCGCACGGCUUAACCGAGCAGGGUCUGGCGAUACGGUGCGACUGGAGGCAUGCAGAGGUCGGUGGAAUUCCCGGUGUAGUAGUGAAAUGCGUAGAACUCGGGAGGAACACCAGUGGUGCAGACGGCCGACUGGGCAUUGCCUGACACUGAGGCGCGACAGCGUGGGGAGCGAACCGA
RNAcentral lists this ribosomal RNA (253 nucleotides) under uncultured bacterium. RNAcentral describes it as "partial 16S ribosomal RNA". It matches the Rfam family "Bacterial small subunit ribosomal RNA", at positions 524 to 776 of the family's 1533-position model. The record is from RNAcentral.